AAAAAAAAAAAAUCUCUCUCUCUGAGUUUGUUUGCAUGGGAAGUCAGUACAUAGGUGAAUGGAGAUGAAAGCACGGUACAUAGAAGACGGUGACAAUAUGUACCCCUCCACUUGUUGGUAUGUUGUAAGAAAAUGCACUCUGUACAUUCUUCAUCUAAGUGUGCUGCGUCCAGGUUUGCUUGCUUUCAUUGAUUAAUUAAAUGAUUGUUAGCUAGUUGCCUUACUACCAAUAUCGUGAAAAAUGGCCGGAUAUUUUUUCAGAAUAUAUUUUCGACUGUUGGAGUGGAAAAAAGGGAAUCCUGUGGCAUAUUAUUUAUUUCAGAAUAUAUUUUCACACCAUACACCAUUCCUUUGUGUAUGGUGUGAAACAGUUGGCCAAAAGUUUGAUAUUAAGGGUUGGAAUUAGGUGUGGGGGCAGUGGCGCACUGAAGCUUCUCCUGUUGUUUUGUUUUCUGAUUUUUAAAUGUUUUUGGCCUAUUUGCUAUUUGGAAACUAUCUCUUCUCUUUAAUUUUGUUUGAAAGCGAAGUUAACAUCCUUUCCUCAGGUGGAUUGUGCUUUGCUUAUAUCUUGUUUGGUAUUUUCGUCUUUCCAGUUAUACUGGGUCAGUGUUCUCGGGAUAUACUUUUUUCAAGUCUGCGGUUGUUCAUCUGCGGUUUGGAGGAAGGUCUCUAUGUUCUAUUCUUACAAGGCUCUUUUUGUGUUUUCUUUAUCUUCUCUUGGUUUCUUUUUGCAUAAUUCUUUCGUUUUUGUUAUCUGUUUGGAGGUCAAGUGGAGAGCAAAUCUUGAGUGCCCUUUUUACUAAGGUUCUUCGUCUAAGUAUUCUCUGUGGUGGUUGCCAUGUGCUUGUUUUGUCUGGAGAAGUUGAAAAUAGGGGAUUGACCGAGCUGAGUAAAUAGGACUGCAGGAGAUGAGAUGAUUUGUUUCUUUCUCUUCAUAUGGUUCGAGCUUCAGUUUGGAGGAAGCAUGACGGAUAUUUUUGCCAGGCUGCUCAUCUGCAGUUUGGGGGAAGUAUUCUCUGUAGUGGUUGCCAUGUGCUUGUUUUGUCUGGAGAAGUUGAAAAUAGGGGAUUGACUGAGCUGAGUAAAUAGGACUGCAGGAGAUGAGAUGAUAUGUUUCCUUCUAUUCAUAUGAUUCGAGCUUCAAUCUAGAGCAAAUAUGACGGUUCUCUUUGCAAAGGUUUUCAUCUGGCUGGCUGUAAUGAAGGGUAAUUGCAGGUAAUAGUUAUUACUGUGCUUUAUUGAUACUUUCAUUAAAUUGAAUACGAUUGUCUACAAUCAAUGUCCGCAAAAAUUUGUUCCAGAGUUGGAGUUUCUUAUUAUGAUUUCAGUAUCCGCCAACUUCAUCCGCUUGAAGUUUGAGAAGAUGGUAGUGCUGAAUUCCCCUUGAUUGAUAUAUGGAUGAGUUUUAAGUUGGCUUUGUUAGGAAUGGAUUCUAUUUCUUUCAGUCCCAAAUCAGAUACAUACGUUGUAGUUUGAUCUACAUAUGUUAUUAAGGAGACGUUUGGAUUCGAAGAUGACUUAAGAUGAUUUGAGAUGAGCUGAGAUGAGCUGAGAUGAAUUGUGAAUA
This is a long non-coding RNA of Juglans regia (Persian walnut), 1567 nucleotides long. RefSeq lists it as uncharacterized. The record is from RefSeq and is a predicted model, not a curated record. The transcript is spliced from 3 exons. Lineage: Eukaryota; Viridiplantae; Streptophyta; Magnoliopsida; Fagales; Juglandaceae.